GAGGAUGAUGAUUUCAAAUUUGUCGCCCCAGUCUUAGGGUCCACUUAGGUGGAUCUUUGCUGAUUGACAUACUAUUAAAAUCUGACUU
Molecule: small nucleolar RNA, 88 nt
Filed under: Hordeum vulgare subsp. vulgare (domesticated barley)
Lineage: Eukaryota; Viridiplantae; Streptophyta; Magnoliopsida; Poales; Poaceae
Description: Small nucleolar RNA U31b
Rfam family: Small nucleolar RNA U31b
Source: Rfam by way of RNAcentral